Non-coding RNA from Podarcis lilfordi (Lilford's wall lizard), 108 nucleotides. NCBI's taxonomy places the organism in Eukaryota, Metazoa, Chordata, Lepidosauria, Squamata, Lacertidae. The record is from the annotation of a GenBank genome assembly.
UCCCUCUCAGCGUUGGCUCGGUUUUUUCCCUUUUAGCCUUCUUUGUACCCUGCAGAAUUCGGUGCUUGAAGGCUAAAGGGGGAAAAACCGAGCUAACGCUCGGCGGGA